Molecule: non-coding RNA, 512 nt
Organism: Cinara cedri
Lineage: Eukaryota; Metazoa; Arthropoda; Insecta; Hemiptera; Aphididae
Source: the annotation of a GenBank genome assembly
UAAUUUUUUAAUUGAGCUCGUUUAAUUUGUUUUCUAAAUAUUUUAAAAUUGCAGUAUAAUUUAAUUAAUUAAGCCCAUUUAAUUGACAUAAGUGAUAAGAAUAUGAUUCGUUACAAGCUCAUUCCUUUUAGCACCUAUUCGGGAAAUGAUAUGUAUAUCUGGUGAUAGUGGCCCAUUUUAAUUAAAAAUUUCGGUUUUUUAUGGUUGGCAAUAGUGAUAUGAUAUAUUCUUAUUUGUCGUAGGAGAAUCGUUAUCAUCCCCAUUUUGCGGGGGAAUCGGACGGUGCGCUCGCUAAGACAACAUCGGUGUGUUGGUCUGCGGAUUCGCGAAGUUUAUGCGGGACAAAAACCCCAUAGCAAAGUCUAGCGCAUUACUAGCGAAUUUUCGACGCUAUAUUGUAGUUGUGUACCCGGUUCUAAAAUAACGCGUUGCCAUACUCGAGAGGCUUCUAUAUUAUGGUGUUCAUAGCGAUACCGUUGUGUGCCUCGUGCUUAUAUUUAUCUAACAAUAAC